AAAGUGCUGGGAUUACAGGUGUGAGCCACCACUCCCGGCCCCUUCUUUGUCUUUUUUGAACUUUGUUUGUUUGAAGUCUGUUUGGUCUGAAAUUAGGAUGCAACCCCUGCUUUUUUCUGUUUUCUACAUGCUUGGUAGAUUUUCCUCCAUUCCUUUAUUUUGAGCCUAUGGGUGUCAUCACAUGUGAGAUAGGUCUCAAAGACAGCAUACCAUUGAGUCUUGCUUUUUUAUUCAGCUUGCCCCCCUUUACCUUUUAAGUGGGGCAUUUAGCCCACUUACAUUCAAGGUUAGUAUUUGAUAUGUGUAGAUUUGAUGCCCUCUCUCAUGACUCCUAUUCAACAUAGGAAAUCCCAGCCAGAUUAAUCAGGCAAGAGAUAAAGGGCAUCCAAAUAGGAAGAGAGGAAGUAAAGCUGGCAGUCAAAUCAGGAAGGCAAUCCCGUUCACAAUUUUCACAAAAAGAAUAAAAUAUCUAGGGUAAAAUACAACUAACCAGGGAGGUGAAAAAUCUCUACAAUGAGAAUUACAAAACACUGCACAAAGAAAUCAGAGAGGAUACAAACAAAAUGGAAAACAUAUCAUGCUCAUGGAUACCUGGGAGGUGGAGCUUGCAGUGAGUUUGAGAUUGCUCCACUGCACUCCAGCCUGGGUGACAGAGCGAGACUCUGUCUCAAAAUAAUAAGAAUAAGAAUAAGAAUAAGAAUAAAAAAUAAAAUUUAUGUAGCUGAUAUAUUACUAUAACCUCACUUGCAUUUUUAAAUUAUUUUACUGUUUCUCUCUUUUUACUUUUAUCUUACCUAUGCUGUAUUUGAAGUUAGUUUUAUAUAGACAGAAUUUUAAAAAUUAUUUAUUUAUGGGGUACAAAUGCAAUUUGGACAAUAUUGUUGGCCAUGUUUUUUCGCUUUUGAUUUUUGUUUUUUUAACUACUCUGCCAAUCUAUGUUUUUUAGUUGGUUUCUAUAGGCCUUUUAUGUUUAA
RNAcentral lists this long non-coding RNA (974 nucleotides) under Pan troglodytes (chimpanzee). RNAcentral describes it as "long non-coding RNA NONPTRT014054". The record is from RNAcentral. Lineage: Eukaryota; Metazoa; Chordata; Mammalia; Primates; Hominidae.